GACGAACGCUGGCGGCGUGCCUAAUACAUGCAAGUAGAACGCUGAAGCGAGGAGCUUGCUCUUCUUGGAUGAGUUGCGCACGGGUGAGUAACGCGUAGGUAACCUGCCUUGUAGCGGGGGAUAACUAUUGGAAACGAUAGCUAAUACCGCAUAACAAUGGAUGACACAUGUCAUUUAUUUGAAAGGGGCAAUUGCUCCACUACAAGAUGGACCUGCGUUGUAUUAGCUAGUAGGUGAGGUAACGGCUCACCUAGGCGACGAUACAUAGCCGACCUGAGAGGGUGAUCGGCCACACUGGGACGGAGACACGGCCCAGACGCCUACGGGAGGCAGCAGUAGGGAAUCUUCGGCAAGGGGGGCAACCCUGACCGAGCAACGCCGCGUGAGGGAAGAAGGUUGUCGGAUCGGAAAGCUCUGUUGUAAGUCAAGAACGAGUGUGAGAGUGGAAAGUUCACACUGUGACGGUAGCUGACCAGAAAGGGACGGCUAACUACGUG
This 497-nucleotide ribosomal RNA is filed under the name uncultured bacterium. Its description in RNAcentral is "partial 16S ribosomal RNA". It matches the Rfam family "Bacterial small subunit ribosomal RNA", at positions 28 to 507 of the family's 1533-position model. The record is from RNAcentral.